CCCAUACCUGGGAUCCCAUGUAGGUGGAGUCCUGUAUCCUCUGCCCUUCCGAGAAUUCCAUGUAGCAUACUAAUUUUAACAUUCACCCAUCUCUUAGUGUGUAUCAGAAUUUCAUUGCUGUUGUGGCCAAUGUUUAAUUGUAUGUAUGAAAAUACCAUAUUUUGUUUAUCCGCUCGUUUGUUGAUAGACAGGUAUUUCCAGAUUUUGACGGCUGUGAAUAAUGCUUCUGUGAACCGCUGUACAGAUACCUGUCUGAGUCCUUGUUUCCAGUUCUUAGAAUGUAUACCUGGGAGCGGAAAGACUGGGCCAUAUGGAGAUUCUAUAUUUAGGUUUUUUUCGGAACUGGCAUACUAUUUUCCACAACAGCUGCCGACUUCUCUCUCUGCGUCUCUGUCUGUCUCCCUCUCUUUCUCUCUCUCUCUCUCUCUCUCUCUCUCUGUCUAUGUGUCUCUCUAGUUCUCUCUCACAUCUCUGAGUUGCACAAGCUGGCUUUUAAACACCAUUCUAUUGUUUUUUAGUGCUAGACAUUGUAUACACGGGCUAAAUCACACACAGGCAUGUGCACAGAGUUUUAGACAAGUUCUCAUUAUGUAACCCAGGUUGGCUUCGAACUCAUAAUCCUCUUGCCUCAGCCCCCACUUGCUGAAAUUUCAGGUGUGCACCAUAAUGUUCCAGUAUAUGCCCCCAACUUUCCUGCAACAAAAAGAUUCCAGUUUUUUCACAUGUGCCCUAGCCUGGCCUUAACUUGACGAAUACC
Molecule: long non-coding RNA, 757 nt
Filed under: Rattus norvegicus (Norway rat)
Lineage: Eukaryota; Metazoa; Chordata; Mammalia; Rodentia; Muridae
Description: long non-coding RNA NONRATT028029
Source: RNAcentral